GCGGAUGUGGGGGAAUUGGUAGACCCGCUAGAUUUAGGUUCUAGUUUCGUAAGAAGUGAGAGUUCGAGUCUCUCCAUCCGCACCA
RNAcentral lists this transfer RNA (85 nucleotides) under bacterium. RNAcentral describes it as "tRNA-Leu". It matches the Rfam family "tRNA". Rfam says of the family: Transfer RNA (tRNA) molecules are approximately 80 nucleotides in length. Their secondary structure includes four short double-helical elements and three loops (D, anti-codon, and T loops). Further hydrogen bonds mediate the characteristic L-shaped molecular structure. tRNAs have two regions of fundamental functional importance: the anti-codon, which is responsible for specific mRNA codon recognition, and the 3' end, to which the tRNAs corresponding amino acid is attached (by aminoacyl-tRNA synthetases). tRNAs cope with the degeneracy of the genetic code in two manners: having more than one tRNA (with a specific anti-codon) for a particular amino acid; and 'wobble' base-pairing, i.e. permitting non-standard base-pairing at the 3rd anti-codon position. The record is from RNAcentral.